Molecule: ribosomal RNA, 304 nt
Filed under: Evippomma sp. CAS 9029020
Lineage: Eukaryota; Metazoa; Arthropoda; Arachnida; Araneae; Lycosidae
Description: partial 12S ribosomal RNA
Source: RNAcentral
ACUAUUUAUAAUGGCGGCAUUUCAUCUUAUUAGAGGAACCUGUUCUAUCAUCGACAAUCCACGUUAAUUUUCACUUAUAUUAAAAAUUUAUAUACUACCAUCUAAAGAAUUAAUUUCAUUAUAAUAUUCUUAAUAAAAAAUAAAAAGUUAGGUCAAGGUGUAAUCCACAUUUAAGUAAGAAAUGGGUUACCAUUAAAAAAAUUUUAGGAUUAAUCAAUAAAAUUUUUUUACGAAAAAGGAUUUAAAAGUAAUAUGAUAAUAAUAUUUUAAUAUGAAUUAGAUAAUAAAUGUGCACACAUCGCCG